Molecule: ribosomal RNA, 391 nt
Filed under: Harmonia axyridis
Lineage: Eukaryota; Metazoa; Arthropoda; Insecta; Coleoptera; Coccinellidae
Description: partial 16S ribosomal RNA
Source: RNAcentral
UCAUUAGUUUUUUAAUUGAAAGCUUGUAUGAAUGGUUUGAUGAGAAGAUAACUUUCUAAAUUUUAUUAUUUAAAAAUUUUAUUUUUAAGUUAAAAAGCUUAAAUUUUUUUAAAAGACGAGAAGACCCUAUAGAGUUUAAUUUAUAAAAGAUUUUUAAUUUAAAGAAUUAUAAAAUUUAAAAUUUUUAUUAAAUUUGAUUGGGGUGAUAAAAAAAUUAGAUUAACUUUUUUAACUUUAACCAUUAAUUUAUGAAAAAUUGAUCCAUUUUUAUGAUUAAAAGAAUAAAUUACCUUAGGGAUAACAGCGUUAUUUUUUUUUAGAGUUCAAAUCGAAAGAAAAGAUUGCGACCUCGAUGUUGGAUUAAAGUUAAAUUUAGGUGUAGAAGCUUAAA